UCUGAAAUCAGAAGGUAGCAGAAGUCAGAGCGGGCCUCCCAAGAAGAAAGCUCCUUCUACUCAGUCAAGAGUUCCACAGGAUGAUUCUGAAAUUCCAGAGAAGCAAUCAAGCCAAGAAUCAAGAAGGCUGCAUCUCGACACAACAGACGAUGGCAACCAAGUCCACUGGGUUUUUCUGACAGACGUUCCUGAAGAACUUCCCCUCCGAGAUGAUGAAGCAGUAAUAUCAUGCGGCAUCAGAUUCUCGCCAUCAGGAGCUAAGCUCAGCAAACCUAUCAAGGUCACAUUGGACCAUAGUGCACAUUUCUCUAAUCCAAGACGUGCAGAAAUCGUCUUCUACACGCGUAACAAAGGCUCUAAAUCUUUUGAAAGAAUUUCUGCAUCCACCGGCGGUU
Molecule: long non-coding RNA, 395 nt
Organism: Strongylocentrotus purpuratus (purple sea urchin)
Lineage: Eukaryota; Metazoa; Echinodermata; Echinoidea; Camarodonta; Strongylocentrotidae
Exons: 4
Source: RefSeq, a predicted model, not a curated record